GGUUAAGUUAGAAAGGGCGCACGGUGGAUGCCUUGGCACUAGGAGCCGAUGAAGGACGGGACGAACACCGAUAUGCUUCGGGGAGCUGUAAGCAAGCUUUGAUCCGGAGAUUUCCGAAUGGGGAAACCCACCACUCGUAAUGGAGUGGUAUCCAUAUCUGAAUUCAUAGGAUAUGAGAAGGCAGACCCGGGGAACUGAAACAUCUAAGUACCCGGAGGAAGAGAAAGCAAAUGCGAUUCCCUGAGUAGCGGCGAGCGAAACGGGAUUAGCCCAAACCAAGAGGCUUGCCUCUUGGGGUUGUAGGACACUCUAUACGGAGUUACAAAGGAACGAGGUAGAUGAAGAGGUCUGGAAAGGCCCGCCAUAGGAGGUAACAGCCCUGUAGUCAAAACUUCGUUCUCUCCUGAGUGGAUCCUGAGUACGGCGGAACACGUGAAAUUCCGUCGGAAUCCGGGAGGACCAUCUCCCAAGGCUAAAUACUCCCUAGUGACCGAUAGUGAACCAGUACCGUGAGGGAAAGGUGAAAAGCACCCCGGAAGGGGAGUGAAAGAGAUCCUGAAACCGUGUGCCUACAAGUAGUCAGAGCCCGUUAACGGGUGAUGGCGUGCCUUUUGUAGAAUGAACCGGCGAGUUACGAUCCCGUGCAAGGUUAAGCAGAAGAUGCGGAGCCGCAGCGAAAGCGAGUCUGAAUAGGGCGCAUGAGUACGUGGUCGUAGACCCGAAACCAGGUGAUCUACCCAUGUCCAGGGUGAAGUUCAGGUAACACUGAAUGGAGGCCCGAACCCACGCACGUUGAAAAGUGCGGGGAUGAGGUGUGGGUAGGGGUGAAAUGCCAAUCGAACCUGGAGAUAGCUGGUUCUCUCCGAAAUAGCUUUAGGGCUAGCCUCAAGGUAAGAGUCUUGGAGGUAGAGCACUGAUUGGACUAGGGGCCCCUACCGGGUUACCGAAUUCAGUCAAACUCCGAAUGCCAAUGACUUAUCCUUGGGAGUCAGACUGCGAGUGAUAAGAUCCGUAGUCGAAAGGGAAACAGCCCAGACCGCCAGCUAAGGUCCCAAAGUAUACGUUAAGUGGAAAAGGAUGUGGAGUUGCUUAGACAACCAGGAUGUUGGCUUAGAAGCAGCCACCAUUUAAAGAGUGCGUAAUAGCUCACUGGUCGAGUGACUCUGCGCCGAAAAUGUACCGGGGCUAAACGUAUCACCGAAGCUGCGGACUGUUCUUCGAACAGUGGUAGGAGAGCGUUCUAAGGGCUGUGAAGCCAGACCGGAAGGACUGGUGGAGCGCUUAGAAGUGAGAAUGCCGGUAUGAGUAGCGAAAGAGGGGUGAGAAUCCCCUCCACCGAAUGCCUAAGGUUUCCUGAGGAAGGCUCGUCCGCUCAGGGUUAGUCGGGACCUAAGCCGAGGCCGAAAGGCGUAGGCGAUGGACAACAGGUUGAUAUUCCUGUACCACCUCCUCACCAUUUGAG
Molecule: ribosomal RNA, 1462 nt
Filed under: Bacillus halotolerans
Lineage: Bacteria; Bacillati; Bacillota; Bacilli; Caryophanales; Bacillaceae
Description: partial 23S ribosomal RNA
Rfam family: Bacterial large subunit ribosomal RNA
Source: RNAcentral